This 252-nucleotide ribosomal RNA is filed under the name uncultured bacterium. RNAcentral's name for it is "partial 16S ribosomal RNA". It matches the Rfam family "Bacterial small subunit ribosomal RNA", at positions 524 to 776 of the family's 1533-position model. The record is from RNAcentral.
UACGUAGGGGGCAAGCGUUAUCCGGAAUUAUUGGGCGUAAAGAGUACGUAGGUGGCAACCUAAGCGCAGGGUUUAAGGCAAUGGCUCAACCAUUGUUCGCCCUGCGAACUGGGAUGCUUGAGUGCAGGAGAGGAAAGCGGAAUUCCUAGUGUAGCGGUGAAAUGCGUAGAUAUAUGGAGGAACACCGGUGGCGAAAGCGGCUCUCUGGCCUGUAACUGACACUGAGGCUCGAAAGCGUGGGGAGCAAACAGG